RNAcentral lists this ribosomal RNA (253 nucleotides) under uncultured bacterium. RNAcentral describes it as "partial 16S ribosomal RNA". It matches the Rfam family "Bacterial small subunit ribosomal RNA", at positions 524 to 776 of the family's 1533-position model. The record is from RNAcentral.
UACGUAGGGGGCUAGCGUUGUCCGGAAUCAUUGGGCGUAAAGAGCGUGUAGGCGGUCCGGUAAGUCCGCUGUGAAAGUCGGGGGCUCAACCCUCGAAUGCCGGUGGAUACUGUCGGGCUAGAGUGCGGAAGAGGCGAGUGGAAUUCCCGGUGUAGCGGUGAAAUGCGCAGAUAUCGGGAGGAACACCUAUGGCGAAGGCAGCUCGCUGGGACGUUACUGACGCUGAGACGCGAAAGCGUGGGGAGCAAACAGG